AAGCAACCAUGCCGGGUGUAUGAAGAAGGCUUUCGGGUUGUAAAGUACUUUCAGCAUGAGGAAGGUGGAUAUGUUAAUAGCAUAUUCAUUUGACGUUAGCUGCAGAAGAAGCACCGGCUAAUUCCGUGCCAGCAGCCGCGGUAAUACGGAGGGUGCGAGCGUUAAUCGGAAUUACUGGGCGUAAAGCGCAUGCAGGUGGUUUGUUAAGUCAGAUGUGAAAGCCCGGGGCUCAACCUCGGAAUUGCAUUUGAAACUGGCAAACUAGAGUACUGUAGAGGGGGGUAGAAUUUCAGGUGUAGCGGUGAAAUGCGUAGAGAUCUGAAGGAAUACCGGUGGCGAAGGCGGCCCCCUGGACAGAUACUGACACUCAGAUGCGAAAGCGUGGGGAGCAAACAGGAUUAGAUACCCUGGUAGUCCACGCCGUAAACGAUGUCUACUUGGAGGUUGUGGCCUUGAGCCGUGGCUUUCGGAGCUAACGCGUUAAGUAGACCGCCUGGGGAGUACGGUCGCAAGAUUAAAACUCAAAUGAAUUGACGGGGGCCCGCACAAGCGGUGGAGCAUGUGGUUUAAUUCGAUGCAACGCGAAGAACCUUACCUACUCUUGACAUCUACAGAAGCCAGCGGAGACGCAGGUGUGCCUUCGGGAACUGUAAGACAGGUGCUGCAUGGCUGUCGUCAGCUCGUGUUGUGAAAUGUUGGGUUAAGUCCCGCAACGAGCGCAACCCUUAUCCUUGUUUGCCAGCACUUCGGGUGGGAACUCCAGGGAGACUGCCGGUGAUAAACCGGAGGAAGGUGGGGACGACGUCAAGUCAUCAUGGCCCUUACGAGUAGGGCUACACACGUGCUACAAUGGCGCAUACAGAGGGCGGCCAACUUGCGAAAGUGAGCGAAUCCCAAAAAGUGCGUCGUAGUCCGGAUUGGAGUCUGCAACUCGACUCCAUGAAGUCGGAAUCGCUAGUAAUCGUGGAUCAGAAUGCCACGGUGAAUACGUUCCCGGGCCUUGUACACACCGCCCGUCACACCAUGGGAGUGGGCUGCAAAAGAAGUGGGUAGUUUAACCUUCGGGAGGACGCUCACCACUUUGUGGUUCAUGACUGGGGUGAAGUCGUAACAAGGUAACCG
RNAcentral lists this ribosomal RNA (1122 nucleotides) under uncultured bacterium. Its description in RNAcentral is "bacterial SSU rRNA". It matches the Rfam family "Bacterial small subunit ribosomal RNA", at positions 386 to 1502 of the family's 1533-position model. The record is from RNAcentral.